ACCCCCCCUAAAUGUAUCAAUGAUGGUUGUCCCUUCACUCUCUAUCUCUUUCGCACUCUCUGUUCUCAACUUGAACAGAACGAAAAAACCCACCCUCUUCAUCGACAACUUCUUCUUCUCACCCUUUGCGUCACCUCCUUUUCAUCGACACCACCCUCUUCGCUACCUCCUCCUCCUCCUUCUCCUUCUCCUUCUCCUUCUCCUUCGUCACUUUCCUCUUCAUCAACCCUUCGAUUUCAACUCACAAGCAACACAGCAGCAAGAGGCGACACAGCAGCAAAGAGGCGACGGCGACCCAUCCAUUCCCUUCGAAGGCCUCCAGCGACGGCGACGCAAGGAGUUCCGAGAUCAGCAAGCAUCUGGUUUUGUCCCUUGUUGCAUCUCUUCGUCUUCCCUUCAGUGAGAAACUGGUCAGAAUUUUUGGGUGCCCCUGCAUACCAAACAGCAAGCAAUUGGUCCUUAAUUUCUCCAUCUUAACGUAGAAGUAAAGCUAUACCUCCUCCAUCCUUCCUCCCUAGCGGUUGCAUUAGCAGCAACUAUUCUCAGCGGCGAGUUCAGAUCAUCUGUGGCGGUUCCUGUGAGAGACAAACAGAGAAGGCGACGCGGGCGGUCGUCGUGACUCAGGCAGUGAGGCGAGGGGAGGCGGCGACGAGAUGGAUCGCAGCUUUGCUGAUGAAUUGUAUUCAGAAACCUUAAGGCUUUCAAAUGGAGAACUGGGUCCCAUAUCCAGUGCCAAUGAUGAGCAGAAUGGCUCUUAUGGAGAUGGACAUCCAAGAUUCUAAAGCAUCGUGGAAGGGACGAAAUCUGUCUUAAGAUCAUGAGUUGGAUCAAUUGUCACAUGAUGAUGGAUCCUUAUGGGGGAGUUCUCCUGAAGAACAUGACAGUCUAUCUGAUUUGGAUAGGGAGUGGAAAAGAAGGCAUGACCAAUUCCAUACAGUAUCCUUCCAAAUUAAAGCUAUUUACUUGUCCACGUUCGUAUAUAUCUCUUUUUGUUUUUUAGGGCAAAAUCCACUUUACUCCUGAAGUAUGGUCUGGUAGCACUUUACCCCAUUCUCUUUUAGAAAUAGCCUGUUUAGUGAAGAAGAAAAUUUCUGUAGUAAAAGUCAAGUCAAUGUGUAAAGUCAUGUUUACUCUUUUCUGCAUCUUCUACUUCAAACUCCAACCCAAACCCUAACUGUACUACUCCCACUACACCCCCAACCCCUCCAGCCACCACCACCACCUCCACCACUUCCCUGCCACUGCCUCCUUCCCACCCCACCUUCCCAACUCCUCUGGCCACUAUACCUCUCUUCCUCCAAUUAAUAUAUUGGAAAUCAAAACGUUUCUAAAAGCUUACCAUAGUGACAAUAAUUAAUACAAUCCCCAUGUCAAUAUCAUUAGAAUUUGCAUAUACAAACGUAGCUUUUGGUCUGAACUCUUGAUUUAAAUAAUGAAGCACAAGCACAUCUCUUAGUUUUUUAUUGUAACCUUGAAUAAAUGUCUUCACCUCGGCUAAACAUUUAUGCUAGAUGGAGGGCAUGAACACCUCAUUGAAUGUUCUCAACUUAGUCACAUUUGAUUUCAGAUUCAUCCCCUACCAGUGUAUGUAUACAAAUAUCUAUAUGUAUAUAUAUUGUUUAUAUAUUUAUAAUUAAAGGUGUAAAUAAUUAGAAAUUAUGUUAAAAUGUUAGAAAUUAGAUUAUAAAAUUAAGGGUAAUUGGAUAUGAAGCAUGAAUACUUCGAAAAUAGUAUUGUUCAAGUACCACAUAUGUACCACUAUGAGUAUGCGUACCCGGUAUGAGAAAUAUGUAUCCGGUACUCGAAAGAUUUUGGGUACAGCUUUGGUAUGGCAUGGAUAUGGGAUGGGUACAGCAUGGGUAUGACUCGAGUACAGGAGAUGGGUACAUUACAGUUACUUUUGUGGGUAUGCCUGGGCAUAAAUGUAAGGCUACCGGGUCAUAUCACAAGGGGUAAAAAAGAUUUUGCCCCCUUUUUUUUUUUUCAUUC
Non-coding RNA from Camellia sinensis, 1989 nucleotides. The record is from RefSeq and is a predicted model, not a curated record. NCBI's taxonomy places the organism in Eukaryota, Viridiplantae, Streptophyta, Magnoliopsida, Ericales, Theaceae.